Molecule: transfer RNA, 76 nt
Filed under: Alphaproteobacteria bacterium
Lineage: Bacteria; Pseudomonadati; Pseudomonadota; Alphaproteobacteria
Description: tRNA-Lys
Rfam family: tRNA
About the family: Transfer RNA (tRNA) molecules are approximately 80 nucleotides in length. Their secondary structure includes four short double-helical elements and three loops (D, anti-codon, and T loops).
Source: RNAcentral
GCGCCCGUAGCUCAGUUGGUAGAGCACCUGACUUUUAAUCAGGUUGUCACAGGUUCGAUCCCUGUCGGGCGUACCA